RNAcentral lists this signal recognition particle RNA (271 nucleotides) under Ammoniphilus sp. CFH 90114. RNAcentral describes it as "Bacterial large signal recognition particle RNA". It matches the Rfam family "Bacterial large signal recognition particle RNA". From Rfam's summary of the family: The signal recognition particle (SRP) is a universally conserved ribonucleoprotein involved in the co-translational targeting of proteins to membranes. Archaeal SRP consists of a 7S RNA and homologues of the eukaryotic SRP19 and SRP54 proteins. The record is from Rfam by way of RNAcentral. Lineage: Bacteria; Bacillati; Bacillota; Bacilli; Caryophanales; Paenibacillaceae.
CCGUGCUGAAACGGGGAGGUAGCGGUUCCUUGUCACCUGCAAUCCGCUAUAGCAGGGUUGAUGCUUUACCUGAGGGACGGUCAUGUGGAGCCUGGGGUAUGGAACUUGUGAUGAAGAUCGCAGCACCUUUGCAACAAAGACGCUCUUGAACGGGUCAGGUCCGGAAGGAAGCAGCCAUAAGAGAGAUGUGCUCUGUGUGCAGAGGAGACGGGUCGGAGCAAGGGAAAUACAUUCCGUCUGGAUGAACGAUUUCGAAGGUAUAAGCGCACGG